ACAGUUCCAGGGAGGGAGAGGCAGAGCCUUUCUGUGAAUUAUGGGGAAAUGGCUGACCACUCCGCCUCUGGAUGGACAGAUACACGGACAGCUGGUUUAAGUUUUGACAAAGAAAAACCCUUCUUGGAACCUCAGUCUGGAAUACAACUGUAGAACCAAUUAAGACUGGAGUAGGAAGCCGGGAGGAAGACAUGGACAGCCAACCCACUGGACAGGGCAAGAGGCCACUCUGGGGGAGAAUGGACAAAGUUGCUUCAGUCCACCAGAGACAAAAGCACAAACAAUCAUUCUAAACGAAGUGCUUUUAAUUUUC
RNAcentral lists this non-coding RNA (313 nucleotides) under Pongo abelii (Sumatran orangutan). The record is from RNAcentral. Lineage: Eukaryota; Metazoa; Chordata; Mammalia; Primates; Hominidae.